AUCUACGGCCAUGCCACCCUGAACAAGCCCAAUCCCAUCUGAUCUUGGAGGCUAAGCAGGGUCGGGCCUGAUUAAUACUUGGAUGGGAGACCACCUAGGAAGACCAGGUGCUGUAGGCG
This 119-nucleotide ribosomal RNA is filed under the name Pteropus alecto (black flying fox). The record is from RNAcentral. Lineage: Eukaryota; Metazoa; Chordata; Mammalia; Chiroptera; Pteropodidae.